RNAcentral lists this ribosomal RNA (506 nucleotides) under uncultured bacterium. RNAcentral's name for it is "partial 16S ribosomal RNA". It matches the Rfam family "Bacterial small subunit ribosomal RNA", at positions 30 to 523 of the family's 1533-position model. The record is from RNAcentral.
AUUGAACGCUGGCGGUAUGCUUAACACAUGCAAGUCGAACGACAGCAUGGUCUAGCUUGCUAGACUGAUGGCGAGUGGCGGACGGGUGAGUAACGCGUAGGAAUAUGCCUUGAAGAGUGGGACAACUUGGGGAAACUCAAGCUAAUACCGCAUGUACUCGAGAGAGUAAAGCUGGGGACCUUUAGGCCUGGCGCUUUAAGAUUAGCCUGCGUCCGAUUAGCUAGUUGGUAGGGUAAAGGCCUACCAAGGCGACGAUCGGUAGCUGGUCUGAGAGGAUGAUCGGCCACACUGGAACUGAGAGACGGUCCAGAAUCCUACGGGAGGCAGCAGUGGGGAAUAUUGGACAAUGGGGGGAACCCUGAUCCAGCAAUGCCGCGUGUGUGAAGAAGGCCUGAGGGUUGUAAAGCACUUUCAGUGGGGAGGAGGUUUGGAAGGUUAAGAGCUAUUCAAAUGGACGUUACCCACAGAAGAAGCACCGGCUAACUCCGUGCCAGCCGCCGCCGUAA